RNAcentral lists this transfer RNA (77 nucleotides) under Actinobacteria bacterium RBG_16_70_17. Its description in RNAcentral is "tRNA-Ala". It matches the Rfam family "tRNA". Rfam says of the family: Transfer RNA (tRNA) molecules are approximately 80 nucleotides in length. Their secondary structure includes four short double-helical elements and three loops (D, anti-codon, and T loops). Lineage: Bacteria; Bacillati; Actinomycetota. The record is from RNAcentral.
GGGGGUGUAGCUCAGCCCGGCAGAGCGCCUCCCUCGCACGGAGGAAGUCAGGGGUUCAAAUCCCCUCACCUCCACCA